GGGACGCCCUUGACCACACAGGUUGGGCCCAUUUCCUACCGGGAAGUGCUGGGCCUGUUCGACGCGGGCUGUGUCCCU
RNAcentral lists this transfer RNA (78 nucleotides) under Mycobacterium simiae. Its description in RNAcentral is "tRNA-Gly". The record is from RNAcentral. Lineage: Bacteria; Bacillati; Actinomycetota; Actinomycetes; Mycobacteriales; Mycobacteriaceae.